Molecule: ribosomal RNA, 379 nt
Filed under: uncultured eukaryote
Lineage: Eukaryota
Description: partial 18S ribosomal RNA
Rfam family: Eukaryotic small subunit ribosomal RNA
Source: RNAcentral
CAAUAGCGUAUAUUUAAGUUGUUGCAGUUAAAAAGCUCGUAGUUGGAUUUCGGAUGGGAUUUGCCGGUCCGUCGUUACGAUGUGCACUGGCCAGUCCUAUCUUGUUGUCGGGGACUAGCUCCUUGGAUUCACUUCCUGGGACUAGGAGCUGACGAGGUUACUUUGAGUAAAUUAGAGUGUUCAAAGCAAGCCUACGCUCUGAAUACAUUAGCAUGGAAUAACACGAUAGGACUCUGGCUUAUCUUGUUGGUCUGUGAGACCAGAGUAAUGAUUAAGAGGGACAGUCGGGGACAUUCGUAUUUCAUUGUCAGAGGUGAAAUUCUUGGAUUUAUGAAACACGAACUUCUGCGAAAGCAUUUGUCAAGGAUGUUUUCAUUAA